This 200-nucleotide ribosomal RNA is filed under the name uncultured bacterium. Its description in RNAcentral is "partial 16S ribosomal RNA". It matches the Rfam family "Bacterial small subunit ribosomal RNA", at positions 328 to 539 of the family's 1533-position model. The record is from RNAcentral.
ACGCUCGACACCUACGGGAGGUAGCAGUGGGGAAUAUUGGGCAAUGGGCGAAAGCCUGACCCAGCAACGCCGCGUGAGGGAAGAAGGUUUUCGGAUUGUAAACCUCUGUCCUUGGUGACGAAGGAAGUGACGGUAGCCAAGGAGGAAGCCCCGGCUAACUACGUGCCACAGCCGCGGUAAUCUGAGCGGGCUGGCAAGGC